AUUGAACGCUGGCGGAAUGCUUUACACAUGCAAGUCGAACGGCAGCACGGACUUCGGUCUGGUGGCGAGUGGCGAACGGGUGAGUAAUGUAUCGGAACGUGCCCAGUCGUGGGGGAUAACGUAGUGAAAAUUACGCUAAUACCGCAUACGAUCUAUGGAUGAAAGCGGGGGAUCGCAAGACCUCGCGCGAUUGGAGCGGCCGAUAUCAGAUUAGGUAGUUGGUGGGGUAAAGGCCCACCAAGCCAACGAUCUGUAGCUGGUCUGAGAGGACGACCAGCCACACUGGAACUGAGACACGGUCCAGACUCCUACGGGAGGCAGCAGUGGGGAAUUUUGGACAAUGGGCGAAAGCCUGAUCCAGCCAUUCCGCGCGCAGGAUGAAGGCCCUCGGGUUGUAAACUGCUUUUGUACAGAACGAAAAGGUUUCUACUAAUACUAGGAGCUCAUGACGGUACUGUAAGAAUAAGCACCGGCUAACUCCGUGCCAGCCGCCGCGGUAA
RNAcentral lists this ribosomal RNA (500 nucleotides) under uncultured bacterium. RNAcentral's name for it is "partial 16S ribosomal RNA". It matches the Rfam family "Bacterial small subunit ribosomal RNA", at positions 30 to 523 of the family's 1533-position model. The record is from RNAcentral.